GUAUGACCCUGUGAAGGAUGUUUGGAUUGAAUUACCUGAUCUGCCUCAAACCUAUGAUUCAGGGAUCUGUAUGGGAGUAGUAGUUGGAAGAAAAAUGCAUUUUAUAUACAAGGGACUGCCCAUUGUUCAAACAUUUGACACUCUGGAGUGGAGGUGGAUAGUUGAGGAUUACAGUUGGUUUUCCCACAUCUGGUUGAUGGCUGCUGAUGGCGACGUAAUCUACAUUAUGAGCCAAGGAUAUAUCUUCAUGCAGGUUGGACAAAACAGCAAAGUUGUUAUUUCAGCAGAUCAGUUUAAUCUCAAUGAUGGGAUGGGGAUGAUUUGUUUUAGAGGCGAACUGUAUGUGAUUGGAGGAACACUUUACACCGACCGGGAUUAUGAAUAUCUGUCUGACGUGCACAUUCUUACAUUGCGCAGCAACGUGAGGACAACCUGGAUUAAUGCUGCUCCAAUGAGUCGAGGAUAUGGAACUGUUCUUGGUUGUGCAGGGUUGAG
RNAcentral lists this unclassified non-coding RNA (495 nucleotides) under Hevea brasiliensis (rubber tree). The record is from RNAcentral. Lineage: Eukaryota; Viridiplantae; Streptophyta; Magnoliopsida; Malpighiales; Euphorbiaceae.